AGUGGGAUUUGAGAACGAACUUGAUAGAAUUUCUAUAGACACAAAUUUUGGAAGAUUUGAGUGGAUAAUGACCUUGCAAGAGCUAGGCAAAGUUGAUGUUAUUUUUAAUGACUCUAGUUUUUAGAAAAUAAAAUAGGGUUGAUAUUUUUGGGUAAUUUUAAGAGUUUGGUGACAAAUCUAGAAGUGAAUUUUUUUUGGAUUUGUGGAUGUAGUUGUGCUUGAUAUGUGUUGUGAAUUUAGAUUUGAUUGAAUGGUUAGAUUAAAAAGUAUGAAGGUUUUUGUGGAUUAUACUCUCAGAAUUUAGGGUUUUAAAAACUAUUGAUAUUUUCUUAGAUAUUUGUCAAUCCGCCAAUUAGAUUGAGGCAAUUUUUUUUAUAAGGGUAGGCAGCUUGAUUUUCACUAAGUUUGUAAAGAUUAGAAGCAAAAUAAUAAUUCAAUCAAGAGUAAUUGGCUCUGGGAGAUUGGCAUCAAGGUCAAAGAAGGAAAUCGGCAUACGUACAAGCAUAUUUUUGAAAUUACUGUCUAUUUGGUAAUUUUGAUCAUUUUUAAAUUUUUUUGUACUUGUUGUCAACUUAAUUGUUAAGAGGUGUGUAAAAUUUGAGUUAAAAUGAAUAGUUCAUUCAUUAAUUAUUGAAGUUUAAAUCUGCUAUAGGAAUUACUUGGAAUUGAUUGGGAUUUAGUUUAAGAUUUGUUUAGGGUUUGUUUAGGAUUUGAUUAAGAUAUGAUUAGGAUUUGACUAUGGUUUGACUAGGAUUUUUCUAAAGUUUGAUUACGAUUAGGAUUUGGUUAGACUUAGGAUUUGGUUUGGUUUAAGGUUUGAUUUGGAUUUCUUUAGAAUU
Molecule: long non-coding RNA, 839 nt
Filed under: Physcomitrium patens
Lineage: Eukaryota; Viridiplantae; Streptophyta; Bryopsida; Funariales; Funariaceae
Description: long non-coding RNA (PPAT_LNC012054)
Source: RNAcentral